RNAcentral lists this ribosomal RNA (1402 nucleotides) under uncultured bacterium. RNAcentral's name for it is "16S ribosomal RNA". It matches the Rfam family "Bacterial small subunit ribosomal RNA". The record is from RNAcentral.
UUAGAGUUUGAUCCUGGCUCAGGAUGAACGCUAGCUACAGGCUUAACACAUGCAAGUCGAGGGGAAACGACAUCGAAAGCUUGCUUUUGAUGGGCGUCGACCGGCGCACGGGUGAGUAACGCGUAUCCAACCUGCCCAUCACUUGGGGAUAACCUUGCGAAAGUAAGACUAAUACCCAAUGAUAUCUCUAGAAGACAUCUGAAGGAGAUUAAAGAUUCAUCGGUGAUGGAUGGGGAUGCGUCUGAUUAGCUUGCUGGCGGGGUAACGGCCCACCAAGGCGACGAUCAGUAGGGGUUCUGAGAGGAAGGUCCCCCACAUUGGAACUGAGACACGGUCCAAACUCCUACGGGAGGCAGCAGUGAGGAAUAUUGGUCAAUGGGCGAGAGCCUGAACCAGCCAAGUAGGGUGCAGGAUGACGGCCCUAUGGGUUGUAAACUGCUUUUAUAAGGGAAUAAAGUGAGCCUCGUGAGGCUUUUUGUAUGUACCCUAUGAAUAAGCAUCGGCUAACUCCGUGCCAGCAGCCGCGGUAAUACGGAGGAUGCGAGCGUUAUCCGGAUUUAUUGGGUUUAAAGGGUGCGUAGGUUGUUUUUUAAGUCAGCGGUGAAAGUUUGUGGCUUAACCAUAAAAUUGCCGUUGAAACUGGGGAACUUGAGUGUGUUUGAGAUAGGCGGAAUGCGUGGUGUAGCGGUGAAAUGCAUAGAUAUCACGCAGAACUCCAAUUGCGAAGGCAGCUUACUAAACCAUAACUGACACUGAAGCACGAAAGCGUGGGGAUCAAACAGGAUUAGAUACCCUGGUAGUCCACGCAGUAAACGAUGAUUACUAGGAGUUUGCGAUAGACAGUAAGCUCUACAGCGAAAGCGUUAAGUAAUCCACCUGGGGAGUACGCCGGCAACGGUGAAACUCAAAGGAACUGACGGGGGCCCGCACAAGCGGAGGAACAUGUGGUUUAAUUCGAUGAUACGCGAGGAACCUUACCCGGGUUUGAACGUAGUUUGACAGGGGUGGAAACACUUUUUCUAGCAAUAGCAAAUUACGAGGUGCUGCAUGGUUGUCGUCAGCUCGUGCCGUGAGGUGUCGGCUUAAGUGCCAUAACGAGCGCAACCCUUAUCACUAGUUACUAACAGGUAUAGCUGAGGACUCUGGUGAGACUGCCAGCGUAAGCUGUGAGGAAGGUGGGGAUGACGUCAAAUCAGCACGGCCCUUACAUCCGGGGCGACACACGUGUUACAAUGGCAUGGACAAAGGGCAGCUACCUGGCGACAGGAUGCUAAUCUCCAAACCAUGUCUCAGUUCGGAUCGGAGUCUGCAACUCGACUCCGUGAAGCUGGAUUCGCUAGUAAUCGCGCAUCAGCCAUGGCGCGGUGAAUACGUUCCCGGGCCUUGCACACACCGCCCGUCA